GAACAUGGUGGAGGUCAGGUCAGAUGACAGAAGACAAUACAUCACAGUUACUUGGUCACUGAGAAGUGAUGGGGGGCUGGUCCACUAGGGUAGAGGGAGCUCAGUCUGGGCCACCACAGCUCACCACCUCUUUUUCUCCCUAUGCAGUUCUGAAACAGCUGGAAGAACUGCUGAGUGACAUGAAAGCUGAUGUGACUCGACUCCCAGCUACCAUUGCCCGAAUUCCCCCAGUUGCUGUGAGGUUACAGAUGUCAGAGCGUAACAUUCUCAGCCGCCUGGCAAACCGGGCACCCGAACCUACCCCACAGCAGGUAGCCCAGCAGCAGUGAAGAUGCAGACUGAUACCACCUCCACCGCUGAGCAGUGACCUUCCUCACUUUCUCUUGUCCCAGCUUCUCCCCUGGGGGCCUGAGAGACCCUCACCUUCCUUCUGCCCAUCUUCCAUGUUGUAAAGGAACAGCCCCAGUGCACUGGGGGAGGGGAGGGAGUGAGGGGCAGUGGUGCCCUUCCUGCAGAAGAGACAUGCAGCAGUAGCGCUGGCGCCAUCUGCAGGAGCUGGCGGGCUGGCCUUCUGGACCCUGGCUUCUCCCCACUGUAACGCCUGUUACACACAAACUGUUGUGGGUUCCUGCCAGGCUUGAAGAAAAUGAUCUGAAUUUU
RNAcentral lists this long non-coding RNA (660 nucleotides) under Homo sapiens (human). RNAcentral describes it as "non-protein coding lnc-NOP2-1:1". Lineage: Eukaryota; Metazoa; Chordata; Mammalia; Primates; Hominidae. The record is from RNAcentral.